Non-coding RNA from Schizosaccharomyces pombe (fission yeast), 755 nucleotides. Lineage: Eukaryota; Fungi; Ascomycota; Schizosaccharomycetes; Schizosaccharomycetales; Schizosaccharomycetaceae. The record is from the annotation of a GenBank genome assembly.
UUCUCAAACCAGUAAUCAGUAUGCUGUAACUUGUUCCAUGGAUCGUAUUCAAAUGCAACAGCUGAAGUAGGUGACCACUUAGCAUGUUCUUUAGCUAUACCCUUCUUGGCAAUGCAACGCAGAGAAAUUUCCUGCUCUUUUCUGAGUUUGCAAAUAAGCGGUCCGCGUGAUUUUGGAUCGGCGAGAAUAGGGUGUCCAAGAGAAGAGUUAGAAGAAACAACAAGAUCUCUAGCAUAAAUUUCCAUCGUACCCUCACCAGUACAUUUGGCAUUUAGGAACAACUCGACUGAACACUUGGGACAAUACUGAUCGCAAUCGCAAUUGCGCGUAUAUUCCAAACCUACUGGAGGCGGUUCAUCGAUGUUGGAGCUAUCCAGAGGUAUCAUACCAAGACGAUGUGCUAGAAACUCAUCAGGCAUGACUGAGGUAUUCACAUUAAUUUCAACUAGGUCAAUGGCUAAAACAUCAUUAGUAUUUAAUUCAAGAAUGAACCUAAAUCUUACCCACUGUUGGAAUCUCUGCAAGUACAACACGUCGCAGCGAGUUUGCAACUCUUUCAACUAUUAGAAGGAAUUUCCUAGAGCUUUUCACUUACGCCAAACUUGUAUUUGUAAGGACAAAAUCCACCGAGUUUUUACUUAUAUUUCGUAUCGUAAUAUGCGUUUCUGAAUCCAUAAUGAGAAUGUGUCGUUUGGUCUAUGCUUGUUGCAGAAUUUCAUACUCAUUUCUCCCAUUCCGCACUGUUAGGUGAUCCC